RNAcentral lists this small RNA (117 nucleotides) under Marmota monax (woodchuck). Lineage: Eukaryota; Metazoa; Chordata; Mammalia; Rodentia; Sciuridae. The record is from RNAcentral.
GCUGGGCACUGUGGUGCAUGCCUGUAAUCCCAGUAGCUCAGGAGGCUGAGGCAGGAGGAUCAAAGCCAGCCUCAGCAAAAGCAAGGUACUAAGCAACUCAAAGAGACCCUGUCUCUA